RNAcentral lists this ribosomal RNA (253 nucleotides) under uncultured bacterium. Its description in RNAcentral is "partial 16S ribosomal RNA". It matches the Rfam family "Bacterial small subunit ribosomal RNA", at positions 524 to 776 of the family's 1533-position model. The record is from RNAcentral.
UACGGGGGGGGCAAGCGUUGUUCGGAAUUACUGGGCGUAAAGGGCGCGUAGGCGGCCUACUAAGUCGGACGUGAAAUCCCUCGGCUCAACCGAGGAACUGCGUCCGAUACUGGUGGGCUUGAAUCCGGGAGAGGGAUGUGGAAUUCCAGGUGUAGCGGUGAAAUGCGUAGAUAUCUGGAGGAACACCGGUGGCGAAGGCGGCAUCCUGGACCGGUAUUGACGCUGAUGCGCGAAAGCCAGGGGAGCAAACGGG